CAGUUAUUCCUCCGACUGCUCUGAUAGAAUUUCCAAAUGUCAGAGAAAUGGAGAAGAGAUUGAAACCUCCACUUGUACUGUCUUUAUGCGAUUCCUUUUUUUCCCUCCACGAAUAGUAUCUCGCAAAUCCCAACGGUGUAAGUGUGCUCAAUUGAAUUUCGAACAACAUAUCCAAAUUUCUUCUCGCACUUCUCCAGCUUCGAUUUGGAGAUGAUUUGAAUUCCAACGACAUGGAAGGAAGAAAGUAUGAAGAUAAUUAUUAGGGUGAUAGCGGAACACAAUGCCAUUGUUAUUGUUAUGCAUCAGUUCUCUAAUUGCCCAUACAUAAUACAUGGGUGUGCCAGUGCGUGAUAAUAACCGCCAAGAUUCAAAGGCGGUUUGGCGGUUUUUUACUUUCCUUUAUGGUGUGUUUGGUUGGAAGGUGAGGAAUAAGUUACCAUAGAAAUGUGGUGUGUGUAUCUAAUUGGUUUCCCAGACAUGCACACUCUACGUAAGGCGGUUUGGCGGUUUGGCAGAAGUGACAGUAACCGCCAAAAUAGAUUCAAAGCGGUUUGGCGGUUUUUUACUUUCCUCUUCUCCGGAAGUCCCUACGCAACUGUGUUGAAGUGCAUGGGCCACGCCGUUCACGUGCUCAGAGUUCCCUCUGCCGAGAUCGUAUACUGGUAUAAUAAAUAAUACAUCAUAGAUGCUGCACUUUUCUUCUUCUUUGUAUCGUUUUUUUCUUUCUGGCGAUUUCUUUAUUCUCUGAGAAUAUUCACGGUGCUAUAGUUUUUAAUGAAACAGUUGAACUCUGUAGAGAGGGGGAAGGGAAUAGGAUGUGUGAGAAGCUAGUUUCGAGUUUGUUUAAACCUGCGCACGGUGUCGUUUAGAAUGCUAUGUUAUAGGGGAAUCAAAUGAGUUAAUUCGGUGGACAAUGUUUAUUUGGCUAAAUGUGUUUUGAAUGAUUCAUUAUAAAAGUAUUCCCAAUUCGGCAAUUUCACAACAUAGGCUUACGGGGAUUACUGUACUGAAUCAUUUUACAGGAUAUAUUUAAACAUUUCAACCUGUGAAUGGUGGGGAAAGCCUUGUGGACUGGAAUUAGAAGAUCCUGUGUGCAAGCCUUCCUUGCCAAAAAGGACUGUGUUCGACUUUUUGGUCCUCUGUUCUGGUAAGCAAGUUGCAGCACUUUUUGUUGUCUGUGUGAUUUUAGAUAUAUAUGAAGUUUGAGAAUUAAACUAGAUAGAACUAGCAUUGUUAGUGUGGUGCUGGAAACUUUUCAAUAUAACAAGUUGGUGUAUUAUUUUUUACUCUGUCCUCAUUCUUUAUUUUGUUUCUUACCCCCCCCCCCCUCCCUUUCAUAUGCUAUUACUAGCUUUCAUAGUUUUCUUUUAAAAAAUAAAGUAAUAGACAUUCCAUCAUCAAGUUGGUGCAGACAAAUUAGAUUGAUCAUUUGAAUGAAAACACGAACUAGGAAAACUUGGUUCAUAUAUUUGUCUCAUUUGUAGGUACUAGGUAGAUUUAUUGUUUUGGCUUGCAAAAACAACUCUAAGUUUCUAAUUUUUGUGUAGAUUUCUUUGGAGCCAGAUUACCUUGUCAAUGGAGAAUAUCUUGUAGAUAAAGGAGCAGCUCCAAAGAUGUUGAACUGUCUUAUGUAAGUUUUUUAGCACUACUAGUUGGGCUUGGCAUUUGAAUUAUCUUUGAAGUUCUAGCAAAUCUGUAUGCACAAUGAAUUUAAUUAAUUAUAUAUAUAUAUAUAUAUAUAUAUAUAUAUAUAUAUAUAUAUAUAAAUCUAUUAAGUAAAAUAUUUCUAAGAAAAUUUAUGUUAUAUUUUAGAAAUGGUUGUUUAACGAAGUACCAACUAGAUUUAUUCAGCCUCUAUUAGCUUAUUUAUUUAUUUGUUAUGUAACUAAAAUUUAUGAUAUUUAUAUAACUUAAUAAUUAUAAAUUAAUAUAACAUAACAGUUUUAUACAUAAUAUAAUUAAUUUACUAUUAGUUUAUUUAUUUGUAAUGUGUGAAUUUUUUUAGUUUUGUUAAUUAAUAUAAAUUGAUUUUCAGGUGUACCAUAUAACUACUAUUGAGCAAACUGAGACAAUGUUACACAUUUGCUUAAUUUUAAUAAAAAAAAUUUAAUUAAAUAAAAUAAAUAUAUUUUAAUAUUUAAUAUUAGGACCAUCGUUGUAGCAUUUAUUGGUCAACAGGAUUUAUAUUCAUGAUGGUUUUAUGAUAUUUAAUCCAAAGCCAAUUUUUUUAUAGAGACCAAAAUUAAAUUUAAAAUUUAAUAAUUUUUCAAGAAAAUCAUAUUUAAGUAUUUUCAUAAGAAAAUAUAAGUUUUAAAUGGCUAUUCCUUAUAAUUUUAUUAUACGUAAAAAAAGUGUUUAAUUUUUUUUAGUUUCACAAUUUCACGUGUAUUCUAUAUAAUGUAUAUUAAUUACUUAGUAGUGAAGUUAACAAUGAUGAAUAGUUCUAAUACAGGUCACAAACCAACUAAAAAAAUUAAAAAUGAUCAAUAAAAAAUAAUUAAAGUACACGAUUAUGUGGAUUUUUAGUCUGAACAAAGUUUUGAAUUUAUGAUAUAUAUAUAUAUAUAUAUCCAGAGAUCAGCGGAGUAGGAUCAAACGGACAAAUAGGAAGUAAGAAUGCAAUAUGAUAAAAUCAAACGUAAGAAUUGUAAACUUGUAAAGCAGAUAUCAAGGGCACACCGGAGACCGGCUUACAAAUCCCAGGUUUUCAUAAACAAAGAAACCGAAGCGGCGGCAGAGCCGCACAGGAUCGGUGAAGGGAGAAGAGAGAAGGAUAAAAAAUAGAAAUUUAUUGAAUCUAGAAAGAAGCGCUUACAAAAAUCUUGUUUCAGAGCACCUCUCUUCCGAAACCUGAAAAAUG
RNAcentral lists this long non-coding RNA (2860 nucleotides) under Glycine max (soybean). RNAcentral's name for it is "long non-coding RNA (GMAX_LNC001952)". The record is from RNAcentral. Lineage: Eukaryota; Viridiplantae; Streptophyta; Magnoliopsida; Fabales; Fabaceae.